UUUGCCAUCGUAAUGUCCUUGCAACAUGGCAACAGUCUGUUCCCGAAUCAGAGAAAUCAUGGUGGGUAACAAUGGUUGUGGAUGAAAUGAAUAGUCGGGGUUAUGGGAAACCCGAGAUGGCCACUUGGUUCUUCCCAGCUCCCUGGCAAACCCCAUUUUCCUUUCUUUCUUGCUUUCUUUUUUUUUUUUUUUUUUUUGCACUCUCACCCACCACAGAGCAAUUAAGAUGACUCAAAUUGCAAAUAAACAUUUGUGGGGAGGCUUCUCCAAAAAUGUAAAAACAGCUUACCACCAGUGCCUGGCCUGUCAGGUCCACCAUACUGGUCAAACUAUUUUUGUUCCCAGGUUCCAAACCUCUUCCCGCUGGACCUUUUGGGUAUCUGGCCAUGA
Long non-coding RNA from Herpailurus yagouaroundi (jaguarundi), 390 nucleotides. RefSeq lists it as uncharacterized. The transcript has 3 exons. NCBI's taxonomy places the organism in Eukaryota, Metazoa, Chordata, Mammalia, Carnivora, Felidae. The record is from RefSeq and is a predicted model, not a curated record.